CAGUAGCCGCGGUAAUACGGAGGGGGCUAGCGUUGUUCGGAAUUACUGGGCGUAAAGCGCACGUAGGCGGCUUUGCAAGUCAGAGGUGAAAGCCCGGGGCUCAACUCCGGAAUAGCCUUUGAGACUGCAUCGCUUGAACACGGGAGAGGUGAGUGGAAUUCCGAGUGUAGAGGUGAAAUUCGUAGAUAUUCGGAAGAACACCAGUGGCGAAGGCGGCUCACUGGACCGUUGUUGACGCUGAGGUGCGAAAGCGUGGGGAGCAAACAGGAUUAGAUACCCCCGUAGUCCCUGUCUCUUAUAC
RNAcentral lists this ribosomal RNA (301 nucleotides) under uncultured bacterium. RNAcentral's name for it is "partial 16S ribosomal RNA". It matches the Rfam family "Bacterial small subunit ribosomal RNA", at positions 509 to 807 of the family's 1533-position model. The record is from RNAcentral.